Molecule: long non-coding RNA, 3971 nt
Filed under: Equus asinus (donkey)
Lineage: Eukaryota; Metazoa; Chordata; Mammalia; Perissodactyla; Equidae
Description: lncRNA (ENSEASG00005025462.1)
Source: RNAcentral
CCAAUGAGGAGCCGCGGGCGCUGCUGUGAGGCCCACAGAAAGACCCGAGGCGGCACUGGCCUUGAAAAAGUGGGGACCAGUUCCGGCCCCCAUCGUGGUGCCCCUCAUCCAGCCCUACCCACCCUCAAGCGUUUUUUGGCGGACAUGAUGGUGGAGCUAGGGGGAACCGGCCUCAGCUGGAAGGGGCGGGUGGAAGGCGCGGGGACUCUGGACAACGCCCCCGGGGGGCGGCAGAUUCGGGAUGGGAGUGGGGGCGAGAAUGGAGAGCUGCCGUGCGGGGCCCCGCAACGGCGGGAGGAGUGGGUGCCCAAGGCCGAGGAGAGAAAGAACAGCCGGUCGGGAGGGGGGAGAGGCGGAGCUGUUCAGGAGCGAGCGGAAAUGGUGCGGGGAGUCAGCCUCUGGGGCCGCCCGGGGAGCUGGGAUGCGGCGCGGGCCACGUGCGCCCGGGAGUACUUAGCGUGGCAGGCGGCCCGCGGGCGGUGGUGGAGACCCUCUGUGGGCAGGGCCUUGUGCUGGGACGACCAUCCCUCAGUCGCAGGGGCGCCCGGUGGCUUUCAGCUUUGAAUUCAGAGACUAUUGACGCCCCAGGCGGGGCCGGCGUCUCCAGACCAGGCCACGGGGCUGCAGAGAGAAGAACACGCCUGCUUUUGCCGCGGAUCGCGAGCGCUCGGGCGCAAAGACCCAGAGUGAGGUGGGGGCAUUAGGACACCUCCAUUCCUGACCUCCUGGAGCACUGACUGCCUUUUGUGGGGGAUUGAAAAAGACUUCUGGGAAGAGCUGGUGCUGAGUCCUCUGUGUGAAGAGGAGGAAAAGAGUUGAUGAGUAUGAAUUGGAGGACCCAUCCAGAAAUAAAGGAUCUGCAAACAAUCAAACUACUAAAAAAUCAAACACAAAACAGAGGAACAGAGAUCCCUGGAGAGAUGCCCUUUCAACCCUCCAUCUCUGCUAAAUGCCUUUUGGAUCCCAGCAGUGGAGCCCAUUGGUUGGUUGGAUAGUCAGAGCAGACUAUUACUGACGCCUAUUAAGGCUGACUGAAAGAAUUCUAGCCAAAUCUUACAGGUUAGAAGAGAAAUGACAGCUCCUCCCAAAGAGAGAUGGUGCCUGGAGCAUACACACAGAGAGACACUGGGAAAAUACCCUUGUGCUGGAGCGACAGGGUGAAAACAUCUGUGUUCCUGAGCUGCUUAAGAAGAUGAAGUUAACAGGGAGAAGGGAUGGGGCGGGGGAGGUGGGAGGAGCAGGGAAUGGUGCUGUCGAUGGGCGUACAUGUUUAGAGCAGAUGGAAAAUGUACCCAUCCAUAACUGGAGAUGUAAGCCAAUUGUAAUUAAGUUUACAACGGAGGCAGAGGGAGAGGAGAGGUACAAAGGAGACUCAAUGAUGGAGAAUUCCAGUGAAAAACCUGGAGAUUAGCUAAAGGAGGAGAAACAUCUUAAAACACCAAAGUGGGAUUUACUCCUGAGAGCUAGAGGAGAAGGAUAUUCAGAGUAGUCCAUGAUUCUAACGAAUUCACUAUCCGCCUGCCAGGGGGUGAGGGUCACAGUCUCAGUUGGUUGGUCAUCCUUCUUACCCCCAGGUUUGCUUCUAAGCCGAACAGCAUGCCUUUCUCCCCGCCUACCUGCCUCAAAACCUGUCAAGCUACUUUUUUCCCCUUUUGCUUCUAAAAUGCUGCUUCCUAGAAGAUGCCUGCUGGGUUGCUUGAGCUGGAGAUUCCGACCUUGGCUUGUUUUAACCUGGACUUCCAACAGUUUCUCCUUUCCCAAUACCCUCAAGCUUUGCCCCAGGUACCCAUGUCUUAGUGCCAAAAGUCAUUUCUUUUUUUAUCCUUGGCUGAUGGUGUGUCAGCUGGUAAACUCUCCUUGCCCUUUAGAACUCUCCAAAUUAUCUCCAGGCAUCUGAAUCCUUGGGGGAUUUGCAGAUCAUAUAUAUGGAUGACACCAUGCUAAGAGGAAUAGCUACUGUGAUUGAUGAGAGGAUCAAGCUUUAAAAUGAAUCCCAUAAGCUGAAAGAUGGUCUAAAAUCAAUACUGUCAGAUGUGCCAGGAAUAAAUGUGAAACACUGCAUUUGGGUCCAAUAAUCAAUUGUACAAGUAUACAAUGGAAAGACUUACAGAACAACAGUUUAUGAAAAAACAAAACAAAACAUUUUUUGGUGACAACUGGUUCAAUAAGACAAGAAUGAACCUGUGUUCUUAACAAGGGAAAGGUAGGACUGAACAAAUCUUUUUUAUUGUUUUUGAGUAUAAUUGUCAGCUGAUCAAGCACAGAGUUCCAGUAGGCUGUGCAGAACAAUCUUGUUUUAUUCGUUUCUGUUUUAAUUUAAUUUCAGUUUCAAAUGCCCUAUUGCAAUCUAUUCAGGGUCCACCUUGGCAAUCAUCAGUGGCUCCCGUAGCCUGUUCACCUGAUUCCAGUAGCCUCUGUGUUUUGAAUCUCACACAAGCCCACUUGGCUGCCGUGCUGCUGGCCUGUUGGAGAGUCCCCCACUUCCCAAGGAGAGAUGCUUCUUUCCAAACAGGCCAGUCUUCUCACUGUUCCUCAUACGCCCCACGGUCGUUGGUUCAUUUGUUCAUUUCUUCACAGAUCCGUUGACCAUCCACUAUGUGGCAGGCACUAUUCCAGGCACUGGGGCUUCAGUGGUGAGCAAGAUAGGGUCCUUGCCCUCAUCAAGCUUAGGCUCUCAUGGGGGUAGGCAGACCCUAAAGAAACACUUGAAAAAUGUCAGAUAAUAAAAAGGUAUGAAAAGCUAUUAGGUAGUUGAAAAGCCUUCCGGCUUCUGCUUAGACUUCUCAGAAUGUUACCUCCUGCUUCCUAAACCGGCUCAAAUUCCACCUUCCCCUCAGAGGCAGAGAACUCCUCCAAGCUCUCUCUGCCCUGGGGUUUGUGACACAUAAUUUAGCACUCAACUGCUCUCUAAGUGUUUCCCCCAAUGCUAAUUUUGCCUCCCAGCAGGCUACAGGAGCUGGCAAACUCUUUGAAGUUAUAGGAUGUGCCUUCAAUUUAAACAUAUUCAGUCAAUCUCUCCCUAGAAUGCUCUUUAAAAGGAAAUGAAAAGCAUAGUUGAAACAUGACUUGAAGUUUUUAAGCUGAUUCCCAGAUAACAAGAGAACUUCUUCCAGUGCCUCCGAAAUCCUCUAGAAAAAGAAUGCAAAGUUAGGACAAUAGUUUGUUUAUUUGUUGAACUUAACCUCCUCCAAAGAGUCCUAGACUCUGUAAGGAGAUCUUUAAAGCAACAAACAUACCUUAACCGCGUAGCAGCAAGAUUAGAGCGAACAGCAGCAGGGAAACAUCCAACAAGCUCAGAGGGAGGAAAGGAAAGGGCAGACAAUGGCAAAUCCAGAAAAAUGAUCAGCCCCAAAUUGAGCCCAAAUGACAUUCUUUUGGGCCCCUCACACUCUGUACAAUAAAAGCGGGCCAAGAAAAGCCAGAAACAAUCCUAAUGGCCAUCAACAGAGGACUGGUCAAAGAAAUGACAGCUUCAUAUGGUCGACUGGCACGCGGAAAGAGUAAGGUAGGUACAGCUAUACACACUGACGGAGACAGAUGGCCACCGCGUGGUUUCAAAAGCAAGUCUCAGAACAAUACAGACAAUAGGAUCCUUUUCAUUUAAAAACUAUAUUCAUAUGUGUGUAGAAAAAUGUAUGUAAGGAUAUACACUAAAUUGUUAACAAUGGUAUUUCUGGGAAUGGGGUUAUAGGCAAUGGGGUGGGGGAGACAGGCAGAGGAAUUUAAUAAUUUAUUUUUACUUUAUAACUUCUAAACUGUUGUAUAUCCUGUACCUAAUUAUAUACGUAUUUUGAGAAUGAGCAUUUAUUGCUUUAAUAAAACAACAAAUAGUCAACAAAAGCAGCCAGAGUUUUCAUUAAUUUCUUUUGGAGAAGACACACAUGUUGUAAAGAACAAGGUCAUUCCUAAUGUCUGGUUUGCUCCUUGGAGAAUUAUGGAUGCCCAGAGUGGUUCCUGGAUUUGUAUAGGUG